GACGAACGCUGGCGGCGUGCUUAACACAUGCAAGUCGAACGGAAAGGCCCUGCUUUUGUGGGGUGCUCGAGUGGCGAACGGGUGAUUAACACGUGAGUAACCUGCCCUUGACUUUGGGAUAACUUCAGGAAACUUGGUCUAAUACCGGAUAGGAGCUCCUGCUGCAUGGUGGGGGUUGGAAAGUUUCGGCGGUUGGGGAUGGACUCGCGGCUUAUCAGCUUGUUGGUGGGGUAGUGGUUUACCAAGGCUUUGACGGGUAGCCGGCCUGGGAGGGUGACCGGCGACAAGGCGACUGAGAGAGGGCCCAGACUCGUACGGGAGGCAGCAGGGGGGAAUAUGGCACAAUGGGCGGAAGCCUGAGGCAGCAACGCCGCGUGCGGGAUGACGGCCUGCGGGUUGUAAACCGCUUUCGCCUGUGACGAAGCGUGAGUGACGGUAAUGGGUAAAGAAGCACCGGCUAACUACGUG
This 468-nucleotide ribosomal RNA is filed under the name uncultured bacterium. Its description in RNAcentral is "partial 16S ribosomal RNA". It matches the Rfam family "Bacterial small subunit ribosomal RNA", at positions 28 to 507 of the family's 1533-position model. The record is from RNAcentral.